GAUGAACGCUGGCGGUGUGCCUAAUACAUGCAAGUCGAGCGAACAGACGAGGAGCUUACUCCUCUGACGUUAGCGGCGGACGGGUGAGUAACACGUGGAUAACCUACCUAUAAGACUGGGAUAACUUCGGGAAACCGGAGCUAAUACCGGAUAACAUGUUGAACCGCAUGGUUCAACAGUGAAAGACGGUCUUGCUGUCACUUAUAGAUGGAUCCGCGUCGCAUUAGCUGGUUGGUAGGGUAACGGCUUACCAAGGCAACGAUGCGUAGCCGACCUGUGAGGGUGAUCGGCCACACUGGAACUGAGACACGGUCCAGACUCCUACGGGAGGCAGCAGAAGGAGAUCUUCCGCAAUGGGCGAAAGCCUGACGGAGCAACGCCGCGUGAGUGAAGAAGAUCUUCGGAUCGUAAAACUCUGUUAUUAGGGAAGAACAAAUGUGUAAGUAACUAUGCACGUCUUGACGGUACCUAAUCAGAAAGCCACGGCUAACUACGUG
RNAcentral lists this ribosomal RNA (497 nucleotides) under uncultured bacterium. Its description in RNAcentral is "partial 16S ribosomal RNA". It matches the Rfam family "Bacterial small subunit ribosomal RNA", at positions 28 to 507 of the family's 1533-position model. The record is from RNAcentral.